GAUCAUGGCUCAGGAUAAACGCUGGCGGCGCACAUAAGACAUGCAAGUCGAACGGAAGUCGUUAUAAAAAGGAUUGAAGAUUUAUCUGAUUGAGAUUUUAUAACAAUGGCUUUAAGUGGCGGACUGGUGAGUAACGCGUGAGCAACCUGCCUACUAGAGGGGAAUAACAGUGAGAAAUCAUUGCUAAUACCGCAUAUGCCAUGAACAUCACAUGAUGAAAAUAGGG
RNAcentral lists this ribosomal RNA (226 nucleotides) under uncultured bacterium. Its description in RNAcentral is "partial 16S ribosomal RNA". It matches the Rfam family "Bacterial small subunit ribosomal RNA", at positions 15 to 203 of the family's 1533-position model. The record is from RNAcentral.